UAGUCCAUGCCGUAAACGAUGUUUACUCGCUGUUGGCGAUAUACUGUCAGCGGCUAAGCGAAAGCAUUAAGUAAACCACCUGGGGAGUACGAUCGCAAGGUUGAAACUCAAAGGAAUUGACGGGGGCCCGCACAAGCGGUGGAGCAUGUGGAUUAAUUCGAUGAUACGCGAGGAACCUUACCAGGGCUUAAAUGGUAUUGGACCGUUGCCGAAAGGUGACUUUCUUUAGACUGAUAUCAAGGUGCUGCAUGGCUGUCGUCAGCUCGUGCCGUGAGGUGUUGGGUUAAGUCCCGCAACGAGCGCAACCCUUGUCCCUAGUUGCCAGCAUUUCGGAUGGGAACUCUAGGGAGACUGACCGGUGACAAACCGGGAGGAAGGUGGGGAUGACGUCAAGUCUUCAUGGCCCUUACGGGUUGGGCUACGACACGUGCUACAAUGGCAACUACAGUGGGUUAAUCCCCAAAAGUUGUCUCAGUUCGGAUUGGGGUCUGCAACUCGACCCCAUGAAGUCGGAAUCGCUAGU
Molecule: ribosomal RNA, 523 nt
Filed under: uncultured bacterium
Lineage: Bacteria
Description: bacterial SSU rRNA
Rfam family: Bacterial small subunit ribosomal RNA
Source: RNAcentral